This 2930-nucleotide ribosomal RNA is filed under the name Escherichia coli O145. Its description in RNAcentral is "23S ribosomal RNA". It matches the Rfam family "Bacterial large subunit ribosomal RNA". The record is from RNAcentral. Lineage: Bacteria; Pseudomonadati; Pseudomonadota; Gammaproteobacteria; Enterobacterales; Enterobacteriaceae.
GGGUUGUGAGGUUAAGCGACUAAGCGUACACGGUGGAUGCCCUGGCAGUCAGAGGCGAUGAAGGACGUGCUAAUCUGCGAUAAGCGUCGGUAAGGUGAUAUGAACCGUUAUAACCGGCGAUUUCCGAAUGGGGAAACCCAGUGUGUUUCGACACACUAUCAUUAACUGAAUCCAUAGGUUAAUGAGGCGAACCGGGGGAACUGAAACAUCUAAGUACCCCGAGGAAAAGAAAUCAACCGAGAUUCCCCCAGUAGCGGCGAGCGAACGGGGAGCAGCCCAGAGCCUGAAUCAGUGUGUGUGUUAGUGGAAGCGUCUGGAAAGGCGCGCGAUACAGGGUGACAGCCCCGUACACAAAAAUGCACAUACUGUGAGCUCGAUGAGUAGGGCGGGACACGUGGUAUCCUGUCUGAAUAUGGGGGGACCAUCCUCCAAGGCUAAAUACUCCUGACUGACCGAUAGUGAACCAGUACCGUGAGGGAAAGGCGAAAAGAACCCCGGCGAGGGGAGUGAAAAAGAACCUGAAACCGUGUACGUACAAGCAGUGGGAGCACGCUUCGGCGUGUGACUGCGUACCUUUUGUAUAAUGGGUCAGCGACUUAUAUUCUGUAGCAAGGUUAACCGAAUAGGGGAGCCGAAGGGAAACCGAGUCUUAACUGGGCGUUAAGUUGCAGGGUAUAGACCCGAAACCCGGUGAUCUAGCCAUGGGCAGGUUGAAGGUUGGGUAACACUAACUGGAGGACCGAACCGACUAAUGUUGAAAAAUUAGCGGAUGACUUGUGGCUGGGGGUGAAAGGCCAAUCAAACCGGGAGAUAGCUGGUUCUCCCCGAAAGCUAUUUAGGUAGCGCCUCGUGAAUUCAUCUCCGGGGGUAGAGCACUGUUUCGGCAAGGGGGUCAUCCCGACUUACCAACCCGAUGCAAACUGCGAAUACCGGAGAAUGUUAUCACGGGAGACACACGGCGGGUGCUAACGUCCGUCGUGAAGAGGGAAACAACCCAGACCGCCAGCUAAGGUCCCAAAGUCAUGGUUAAGUGGGAAACGAUGUGGGAAGGCCCAGACAGCCAGGAUGUUGGCUUAGAAGCAGCCAUCAUUUAAAGAAAGCGUAAUAGCUCACUGGUCGAGUCGGCCUGCGCGGAAGAUGUAACGGGGCUAAACCAUGCACCGAAGCUGCGGCAGCGACACUAUGUGUUGUUGGGUAGGGGAGCGUUCUGUAAGCCUGUGAAGGUGUACUGUGAGGUAUGCUGGAGGUAUCAGAAGUGCGAAUGCUGACAUAAGUAACGAUAAAGCGGGUGAAAAGCCCGCUCGCCGGAAGACCAAGGGUUCCUGUCCAACGUUAAUCGGGGCAGGGUGAGUCGACCCCUAAGGCGAGGCCGAAAGGCGUAGUCGAUGGGAAACAGGUUAAUAUUCCUGUACUUGGUGUUACUGCGAAGGGGGACGGAGAAGGCUAUGUUGGCCGGGCGACGGUUGUCCCGGUUUAAGCGUGUAGGCUGGUUUUCCAGGCAAAUCCGGAAAAUCAAGGCUGAGGCGUGAUGACGAGGCACUACGGUGCUGAAGCAACAAAUGCCCUGCUUCCAGGAAAAGCCUCUAAGCAUCAGGUAACAUCAAAUCGUACCCCAAACCGACACAGGUGGUCAGGUAGAGAAUACCAAGGCGCUUGAGAGAACUCGGGUGAAGGAACUAGGCAAAAUGGUGCCGUAACUUCGGGAGAAGGCACGCUGAUAUGUAGGUGAAGUCCCUCGCGGAUGGAGCUGAAAUCAGUCGAAGAUACCAGCUGGCUGCAACUGUUUAUUAAAAACACAGCACUGUGCAAACACGAAAGUGGACGUAUACGGUGUGACGCCUGCCCGGUGCCGGAAGGUUAAUUGAUGGGGUUAGCGGUAACGCGAAGCUCUUGAUCGAAGCCCCGGUAAACGGCGGCCGUAACUAUAACGGUCCUAAGGUAGCGAAAUUCCUUGUCGGGUAAGUUCCGACCUGCACGAAUGGCGUAAUGAUGGCCAGGCUGUCUCCACCCGAGACUCAGUGAAAUUGAACUCGCUGUGAAGAUGCAGUGUACCCGCGGCAAGACGGAAAGACCCCGUGAACCUUUACUAUAGCUUGACACUGAACAUUGAGCCUUGAUGUGUAGGAUAGGUGGGAGGCUUUGAAGUGUGGACGCCAGUCUGCAUGGAGCCGACCUUGAAAUACCACCCUUUAAUGUUUGAUGUUCUAACGUUGACCCGUAAUCCGGGUUGCGGACAGUGUCUGGUGGGUAGUUUGACUGGGGCGGUCUCCUCCUAAAGAGUAACGGAGGAGCACGAAGGUUGGCUAAUCCUGGUCGGACAUCAGGAGGUUAGUGCAAUGGCAUAAGCCAGCUUGACUGCGAGCGUGACGGCGCGAGCAGGUGCGAAAGCAGGUCAUAGUGAUCCGGUGGUUCUGAAUGGAAGGGCCAUCGCUCAACGGAUAAAAGGUACUCCGGGGAUAACAGGCUGAUACCGCCCAAGAGUUCAUAUCGACGGCGGUGUUUGGCACCUCGAUGUCGGCUCAUCACAUCCUGGGGCUGAAGUAGGUCCCAAGGGUAUGGCUGUUCGCCAUUUAAAGUGGUACGCGAGCUGGGUUUAGAACGUCGUGAGACAGUUCGGUCCCUAUCUGCCGUGGGCGCUGGAGAACUGAGGGGGGCUGCUCCUAGUACGAGAGGACCGGAGUGGACGCAUCACUGGUGUUCGGGUUGUCAUGCCAAUGGCACUGCCCGGUAGCUAAAUGCGGAAGAGAUAAGUGCUGAAAGCAUCUAAGCACGAAACUUGCCCCGAGAUGAGUUCUCCCUGACUCCUUGAGAGUCCUGAAGGAACGUUGAAGACGACGACGUUGAUAGGCCGGGUGUGUAAGCGCAGCGAUGCGUUGAGCUAACCGGUACUAAUGAACCGUGAGGCUUAACCUUACAACGCCGAAGCUGUU